This 120-nucleotide ribosomal RNA is filed under the name Klebsiella pneumoniae. RNAcentral describes it as "partial 16S ribosomal RNA". It matches the Rfam family "Bacterial small subunit ribosomal RNA", at positions 1424 to 1533 of the family's 1533-position model. The record is from RNAcentral. Lineage: Bacteria; Pseudomonadati; Pseudomonadota; Gammaproteobacteria; Enterobacterales; Enterobacteriaceae.
AAGUAGGUAGCUUAACCUUCGGGAGGGCGCUUACCACGUUGUGAUUCAUGACUGGGGUGAAGUCGUAACAAGGUAACCGUAGGGGAACCUGCGGUUGGAUCACCUCCUUACCUUAAAGAA